UACGGGGGGAGCAAGCGUUGUUCGGAUUUACUGGGCGUAAAGGGCGCGUAGGCGGCCACCGCAAGUCGACUGUGAAAUCUCCGGGCUUAACCCGGAAAGGUCAGCCGAUACUGCGGGGCUAGAGUGCAGAAGGGGCAACUGGAAUUCUCGGUGUAGCGGUGAAAUGCGUAGAUAUCGAGAGGAACACCUGCGGCGAAGGCGGGUUGCUGGGCUGACACUGACGCUGAGGCGCGAAAGCGUGGGUAGCAAACAGG
RNAcentral lists this ribosomal RNA (254 nucleotides) under uncultured bacterium. Its description in RNAcentral is "partial 16S ribosomal RNA". It matches the Rfam family "Bacterial small subunit ribosomal RNA", at positions 524 to 776 of the family's 1533-position model. The record is from RNAcentral.